AUUGAACGCUGGCGGAAUGCUUUACACAUGCAAGUCGAGCGGCAGCGCGGCCUUCGGGCUGGCGGCGAGCGGCGAACGGGUGAGUAAUGCAUCGGAACAUGCCCAGUCGUGGGGGAUAACACUUCGAAAGAAGUGCUAAUACCGCAUACGUCCUGAGGGGGAAAGCGGGGGAUCGCAAGACCUCGCGCGAUUGGAGUGGCCGAUGUCAGAUUAGCUAGUUGGUGGGGUAAAGGCCUACCAAGGCGACGAUCUGUAGCUGGUCUGAGAGGAUGAUCAGCCACACUGGGACUGAGACACGGCCCAGACUCCUACGGGAGGCAGCAGUAGGGAAUUUUGGACAAUGGGGGCAACCCUGAUCCAGCCAUGCCGCGUGAGUGAAGAAGGCCUUCGGGUUGUAAAGCUCUUUCGGCAGGAACGAAACGGUGGGCUCUAACAUAGUCCGCUAAUGACGGUACCUGAAGAAGAAGCACCGGCUAACUACGUG
This 484-nucleotide ribosomal RNA is filed under the name uncultured bacterium. RNAcentral describes it as "partial 16S ribosomal RNA". It matches the Rfam family "Bacterial small subunit ribosomal RNA", at positions 29 to 507 of the family's 1533-position model. The record is from RNAcentral.